This 553-nucleotide long non-coding RNA is filed under the name Setaria italica (foxtail millet). RNAcentral describes it as "long non-coding RNA (SITA_LNC000963)". Lineage: Eukaryota; Viridiplantae; Streptophyta; Magnoliopsida; Poales; Poaceae. The record is from RNAcentral.
AUCUUUGUUGCCCAUGGAACGAAUGCCUGGUUAGAGUAAGCACACACAGGGAGCGGCAAUUGCAUAUCCACUUUUGCCACGUUGAGCCUGCAGGUGAUUUAUCAUUCCACAAAAUGCCACUGAAUUUUUGCGAUCUUCUGUGUUCUUUUUUUUUAAGUAAAUGGUCUUCUGUGUUCUGAUAUUUUCAUUUUAGGUUGGUGGGAUUACUGAAGAAUUGAUGAAGAGUUGCUGAUCAUAAAGCAAAGGACAACAACUGUCAGAUCCUGUAAAGAAGAGCGAGCAGGAAUUCUAGAUAACUGCCUGGCAAAGAUGCUGUGACAUAUUCUGAUGUCGUCUUCGGUUUUAGUCCUAAGGCCCAUUGUAGGAUGAGUUGCUUAAGUCCUUGAAUUUGUUGGCAAUAUGAGCAGGACCCUAUCCCUGGUCCUAUGUAACAAACUAAUGUCUUGUCUCCUGGAGUUGAAUAUGCUGUCCUUUUUUUUAGUGGUCAACUCCAAUUUUCGUAUUUUAUACUAUGUUGAUAUGGUGCAUCUUAUUUGGUAUAUGUUUAAGGACA